UACGAAGGGUGCGAGCGUUAUUCGGAGUGAUUGGGCGUAAAGGGUGUGUAGGCGGUGCGUUAAGUCAACUGUCAAAUUCCUCAGCUUAACUGAGGGCAGGCAGCUGAAACUGGCGCGCUUGAGGGUGGAAGAGAGAAGUGGAAUUCUAGGAGUAGCGGUAAAAUGCGUAGAUCUCGAGAGGAACACCAAUGGCGAAGGCAGCUUCUUGGUCCAUGCCUGACGCUGAGGCAAGAAAGCGUGGGGAGCAAACAGG
RNAcentral lists this ribosomal RNA (253 nucleotides) under uncultured bacterium. Its description in RNAcentral is "partial 16S ribosomal RNA". It matches the Rfam family "Bacterial small subunit ribosomal RNA", at positions 524 to 776 of the family's 1533-position model. The record is from RNAcentral.